Non-coding RNA from Microcebus murinus (gray mouse lemur), 10313 nucleotides. The record is from RefSeq and is a predicted model, not a curated record. Lineage: Eukaryota; Metazoa; Chordata; Mammalia; Primates; Cheirogaleidae.
UAUGCUCUGAGAGCUGUUUUAUGCUUUUAUUUUUGAAGUUGUUGCUGGUACUCUCAUCUUGUUGAGCACAAUUCCUUUUCAGUAAAGAUUCUGGAUACAUGUCUGUUGCAUGGAAUUGAAUGCUAGUCUACAGGCAAUUUUUAUACCUUAGAUCAAGAGAGGAUGCCAUUUGCAGGAGGGCUUGACACUUUUAGGGAGUCAUUUCAUGGCCUAAAAGAAUGUUAUAUGUGUGAUUGUAUGACUUUCGAUAAAGAAUAAAAAAACAGGAAUGAUUUGUUUGGAAUUUAAAACCUCCCUUCUACUGUGACUUUAUCUGCUGCCCAUUUGCAGGACUCUGAUAACUUCAGCUUCUUCUCCUACUUCAUCUGCAGGCUCUUGAAGUCUGUGGGAUGCCCAAGUGUGUACAGAAACACGGAAAUAGCACAGUCCCUUUGGUUAAGAAUAACAUGUCAGUUUUCUUUUCUUGCUUUUGUGUGCUCUCUGGAGCUUACCCAUGCAUGAUGUUCCAGUUGACUUCAAAGGCAAGUCUAUGGUUGGAUUAGCUCCACAGGACAGAAAGCAAGGUAAGAAAUAGGCUUAGUGCUUUCAAGGCCCACUGGGGAGCUGAUAGAGCCAAGCUAUGUGGCUUCCAAAAUAAUUUGUUCAUUCAUGUCCUCAUGGAGGAACAGGUAAAUUUGCAUAAUCCUUUCUGUUUUAUUGUUACCAUUAAAAUUUCUACAUUUUCAAAAUGAUGACUGGACAGUGCCCAAAAAGGUUGAUUUAUAGUUAUAUAAUUCCUGCACUUGAGGCGUUUAAAAUCUAAUAAAGGAGAUAUAGAUAUAAUAAAUUUAGAGUGAGAAAAUACUACUAAAGUCAUGAAGACAUGAAAUAUUCACGUUGCAGGGUAAUUUUAGGUAUUAAAAAAGGGAUGGGGUAGAGAAUGGUGUGUACUUGAAUUGCAACUGUACUAAAUUGCAAUUGUACUAAAAUUGCAACUGAGGGACUUUUGCUUUCCAGAUAUUGCCUGCAAAGGUGGACUUCUUACAGAAAGUUAGAGCCAGGCAUUACUGAGGGAAGGAAGAGAGAAGAGGGGGUGAGCUGAAGGCAAUAUUGUAAACUCGGGGCGCACACUGAGAGGAGGUUUAGAUAUAAUUGUACAAAAGAAAAUAACAUCAAAAAAUCCAACACCAUAGAAGGAGGGUUCAGAAGGAGUCAGGGGUAGAGAGAAAUUACAAGUCGUUUGAACGGUUUGCUUCUCUGAUGGAAAAGUGACACGUCGCGCAGGACCGAGGGAGGAUACAGGGUCCCAGCAAACCCUAGAAAGGGGACCAAACACGCUUAUUGCCUAUUUUUUCUUUUGUCUCUCAAAUGAUGAAGAAAGGGAAUGAGCUUACUUCUUUGUACUUUGAUUGAUUCCGUUUUAUCUCCAGGAUCACAAGUAUGUGUUACUCACACUUAUUUAAAGCUAAGGGCACUUUUUAAACUCCCUGGCCCCCACACACCAGGGUUCUUCGAGGUGAUUUUAUUCAGCGUGGUCUAGGGACACACCACAGAGAGAGACUGCAGUCUGUGUGGUGACCAGCUUCGAGUCGGCACGACUGAACCUCAGAGUGCGUCCCGACUGCGGUUAUGUUCUAGUGAAUACAGCAGAAGCAGAAAUGAAUCAUCUGUCUCCAGAAAUUGUCUUUCUGACUUUGCUUUUGGAGACAGUGGCAUGUGUACUAAGACUGGAACAAUCCUGCUUUGAUUUGUUACCAAACACUUGGUAUUGGACUUUGAAAGGGAAGAAAAAUAUUGUGUGACUCAAAUGAGCUUUUCAUUCGAAAAAGAAAAGGCUUUUUGUGUAGCUAUCUUUUCUAAUUAUUAUCAGCACUUAUUUCUCUCCUAAGACGUACACCAUAAUUUUAUGACCUGGGAACUGCUCAAUAUUUGUUUCAGUAUUCACCAAACAUUUUGAUUUCAUUUCCUGCAUCUUAGAAAGUAUAACUGGAUUAUCUGGUGUUGUUUUCUCUUCUCUGGAAAUUCCAGGAGAGGAAACCAUCAAGUGGAAACACCUCAUUUCAUAGUUAUAAUGAGCUGAACUUGGGGAAGGGACUUGUUUAAGGUCACACAGCUAGGUAGUGACAGAGCCAGGAAAAACUCAAAUCUAUUCGUACCCAGAUGAGCCUCUUUUAACUACACGGCACUGUCCUUACAAGUGUAUCAAACUGUAAACUACAGACAAAUACUUGCCAUUCCCCAAUAAAUCAGAUCUCAUGUUGGAUGUUUUAUAAUGUGCUGCACAUCUAUUGCAAAAAACAUGGUUAUACAUUAAGUAUAAGCAUUCUGAUAAUGACUGACAGGGCUUAAAUAGGCGUGAAAGAAGAGAUUUUUAAAAAGAGGGUUCUUAUUUAAGAAAUCACCUUUUUCCUGAUUUCCUUAGGAGAUUUAAUAAGAAAACAAUGCAUCUGCCUUCAUCGUAUUCCAUGUUUUGCUUGCCAAAGAGCGGCCAUCCUAGGACCGGGAUGAAUUGCCCAGAAAGUUUCUCAAAUGUGAAUGUGGUAGGAGAACAGAAAGGAUGGCUGUGGUCAGGGUGGCACUCAGACCCUGACGGUCAUGGGUUCAAGUGCAUCCCACGUUGCUCCUGUCCUGAAUGUCCCGUCCAUGGUUCUGGUUCUUCUCCAUCGUCAUUUUGCUCUCUCUCCUCCCCACUCAUUCAAACCUCUUGAACCUUUGGUGUAUGUGUCCUUUGCUUUACAAUCCCUAGCACCUAGUGUCUGCUCUUCAUGACCGACGAAUUUAUGGUUCCUGAAUCUCUAAAUCUGGUGGGUUCCUUGGUUCUUUCCUAGAUCUAUGUGUGCACUUGACCUCCCUGAUCACUCCCACUUCUGCGAGUUCCCUGCCCUCCUGGCACCACACCUUCCAGAUGGUCUGCUAAUUAUUCCUUCUCUGCCUCUUUUCAUGGAUUUCUCUCCUUCCUAUUCCGUUCAUCCUCAGCCCACUGCUCCUGUCGCUCCGCACACUCCCCCAGAGCACUCUCCUUCACUGUCAUGAUUUGCAGCUACUUGUACAUUUUAUAUGUAGUUCAAGUCCCCGAUCUGCAAUUUAGAUUCGAACAUUUAGCUGCUUGCUGUAUCUGUUUAGCACCCUGCAACCCAUGUGCAAACUGACCUCGUGACCAUUCCCCUGAACCUGAUUUCCCUUUCUGUGUUCUCUGGCUCAUUUUGUGGCACUGCUGGGAGUCAUUAUUGGCUUCUCUCUUCCCACUUUUGUUGUUUUCCACAUCAAACCCAUUACCAGGACCUGAUGAUUUUCCAUCCUAAGUGUUUCUUGAAUCUAUCUAUAAUCCCCAUCACCAUUGCCACUGCGGUGGUUCAGAACUACUGCCACUGCGGUGGUCCAUCUCUUGCUGGGACAUCUGCACCUUUCCUCCAUCAGCCUUGUCACCAUGAGGUCCACCUAACUUACAACCCACAGUAGACUUGCCCCUCGCAAGCUUAAAAUCCUCUAGUGUUUCUGCACCUCGACAGAUAAAGUGCAAAAUGGUCUCAAGCUAAAUUCUAGCCUUAAAUCUCUGCUACUUUCUGCCUCUCUCUAGUCUUGUCUCUAAGAAUUCCCUGUCUUACACUUUGCUCUCCAGCAAAAUGCAACAGCUUGGAGUUCUACGUAUGGACAUAUCACUUCUUUGCAUUUACUGUCUACUUUGCCUCAAGUCACUUCUCACUCUUCUUCCCUGGCUUGCUCCUAGUUUUCCUUUAGUCAACACAGUGUGUUCCCUUCUCUAAGUCUGUUCUAAGUCUGUCCCUUCCUGAGUCUUGUUCCCGCCCCACCCCAACUAUCCUCAGCCUUGUCAAUACCCUGUGCAUAAUCCAAUCAUUGCAUGAACUCCAUCAUUAUCCAAUUUGUGUUUACACGAGCUAUACAGCCCCCUUGAUAGCUGUUUGCAACCUAUUUUCCUCAACUAAAUUCAGACUUCUUUGAGUAAGUAUUUGGUACAGAACUGAGAAAAUAUUUGUGCCACUGCUGAUAAUUGAGUCAGGAAGCCAUAGGAUGCUUUUAUAUGUUAACCUUUAAUUUUAACCUUUCAUUUCUUCUGAGGAACAGCAAUUGAGUCACAGAUAUACAAGUAUCUUUAUUUUAUCUUCUCUCCCAACACCCAUACUUUAUAUAUAUUCUACCCCCCAAAAGAAGCUAAAAUUUAAAAAGACGAAAUUAUUGGCUUGCAUGGAAGUAUCGUAGUGUAAAAAUGUCAUGAGAAUCUGUUUUCCAAAUUUCCAGAUCAGCCCUCUUACUAUGUUAUGACAUUGUUUCUCUGUGAUUUUUAAACAUUUAAAGGUAUAUUUUAUAUAUCACUUUUAUUCAGUCACCUACCUAAAAUCAUGGAUUUCCCAGGGUGGCAAGUUAUGACAGAGAAAGGCUUUUUAAAGCUUUAUUUAUCCACAUCUCAGAUAUAUAUUUUUUUCGAGUCAAGAAGUAGCACACUGAGCUUUUCUGUCCCCAAAAAUACUACACAUGCUAUUUUCUCAGGAAGAAGAGUAAGGUUUAUUUUUUGUUAAUGAAAUGCCAAACAAGCCUAGCCAACUUGCCAGGCAGAAUUAAAUUGGAGCAUCUUUGGCAGUAGGUUGCGCGGCUCCAUCCAUGCAAGUGUUUUGUGAAAAUGUAGCUUAAGCAUUUUUUAAAAAUUGGCCAGAUUCUUUUUAGGAUAAAGUUGGGACAUUCAGAAAUUUGGGCAGUACACACAAUGUGAUAAACAUUUCCAAGUCUGGUUAAAUAAGCCCCAUUAUGAUCUUGCUCAUUUAAUUCAGGCCUCUUCUUCCACACUCAUCACAAAACUUUAGCCCUUGGCCAGUGUGAGUAUGAAUGUAGUGACUAAGUUCAGAUUUAAAAACAUUGUUUGUAAAGUCAUUCUAAUUUUAAUUUAUAUCCUCUCUACCUAUGUUUUACCAUACUGUUUGUUCACAGUCUCUUUUUUUCCUCCUAAUAUGAGAGAGAGCAUAAACACACAUCUUAAGAAAUCCCUUAGGCUAGCCUCCAACAAAGAGUGGUUCCCAAAAAGUACACAGCAAAAUGAAAAGCAGAUAUAUAGGCAUAUUCCAUUUUUAAAGUACAUUUUUCAAGUUUUGUUAACAUAUUGGCGUGUGGCAAACUUUUUCUGUACCAAGCCAGUCAGUGAAUAUUUUAGCUUUGGUGUGGAAUAUGGUUUCUGUUAUGAAUACUCAUCUCUUCUGUUGUAGUUCAAAAGCAGCCAGAGACAAUCCAUGAGCAAUUGAGUGUGACUGUGUUCCAAUAAAACUUUAUUUACACAAACAGGUAGCAGCCUGGGUUUGGCCCACCAGCCGUUGUUUGCUAGCUCCCCACGUAGCUUCACAUUACUCCCUAUGACUUUCGUUAGUAACUCUUUGGUUUUGAUUUUUAACAUCAUGGAAAUAAAGAUGUUACUGCUUUAUUUCCAUCAUGAGUAAAAUUUUAGGUUAUAUUACAGAUGAACACAUGGAUUUUUUGGAGGUUAGAUAAGAUUGGUCAUCUUUAUGAUUUUCUCCCUAUUUGAAAUUGUUGCUCGCACAGUUGUAAGUUUCUUGAGGGGAGAGAAUAGAUGAUAAUUCAUCUUAUGCUCUCACUGUGACCAAGUGCAUGGUUCAUGGCACAGGUCAUAUUUUCAAAUGAAUGAAUGACCAGGGCCCUGCAUGCUAACUAUAGUCCGUUGGAUCACCUUGUAGACAAAAUGUAAGACCCAAACUUUUAGUCUCUUGGCUCUUUGUGCACUGUUGUUUCAAAAGAUCCCAGGUGAGGUGCCCUGAUAAAGGGCUAAUGAAUCCUGCCAUCAGUGGUGGUGAAAGUAGGAUGUGCUCUCACCUGAGCUCAUAUUCUGAAACAGCCACCUGUGAGAUUUUCAUGGUGAGCAUGUAUGGAUAAAAACCUAUCCAUGAUGAGGAGAGGGGUACAAUGUUUACUUCUAGUGCUUCAGAUCUGUCGAGUUGAAAACAAAAAGGAAAAUCCUUUUUGCAGUGAAUGUGAACUGAGAGCACAAUGGAUUUACCAAUAUUUUCUGUUCCUUAGAUUUGAGGUUAACAUGGGCAUAAUGUCCUGGAUGAAGCUUUGGAAGUACUUGUGAAGGAUUCUCAAGCUGAUGGAGUGAGUGAUGGAGUGGGUUGCCAACGGUAGUUACUCCACUCAGCGCAGAAUGGCUGCAGGGAAUAUAUUCAGACAUCCCCAAAGAAGUCUGCCCAGGGUGAAACAAAUACCUUUCAGGUUUAAAUCAGGAUGAAGUUGUGCUUAAUAGCCUAUGCUUAAUUCAUUCAGAAACUACACGAUUUUUGUUGCUAUAUUUUGUUAGAAAGGAAGGAGAGGCUGUUUCUACAGGUGUCUUCAAAAAAUCGAUACUGAGCCACGGAUUAUUGGAUCCCACAGAAGCAUGGAGACUUGGCAGUGAAAUUCUUCCAAAGCAUUCCAUCCGUGCAGGCAGACGGUGUUCCUAGGUUUGGAAAUAUAAAUCCCGUGGGAAGUCAGCUGAAGAACAUUUUAUGCAUCGCUCAUCCUAUUAUGAGCCCUGUGCUAUUCCAUCUCUCUACAAGAUUGGCUGAAACAACAACAACAGAAAUUAGUUACAGUUUGUAUUCUUACUUUGGAUCACCUAGUUAAUAUCCUGACUCUGAUUACACCCAAAGACAGUGUUCUUAUAAAAAGAUACUCUAUUAGAAGGAUGCUAAUGCAUUAUCAAUAAAAUCACAGGGAAAAUGAAACAUUUUGGAUAUCACAUCUGAUGAGUUGGCAGUUAAAGAACAGAAACAGAGCAAUAAGACUGCAUGGCUGCAUUUUCCCAGUGCCACCAACUGGGAGUUAAGCUGACUAACAUUUUGAAAGCCCAGCCCAUUUCGUUCACAGCAGGAUGGCAGUGGGUGACUGAUCGUCCCCGCCAGCUGGCUAAUAUCAUAAUUAACAAAAGUUGCUACUACGUCUGCAAAGUUUAAUGGAAAAAUUUGCCAGUGAUACGAUGGCAUUGUCACAGAGAUCACAAGGGACACGGAGCCGACUUUUGCUGAAGGUGGAACGGCAGAGCUGUGUAGACAAGAUGAGAAAUUGUGAACUUGCUCAGCCAAAGGAGGCUAAUAAUGAAGGGGCCAGGGAAGGAGGCCAGUGCUGCAAGGGUUAUCUCACAACCUCAGAUGCUGGAUAAGUCGAAGGAGGCAGAGUCGCUUUGGGAUGACAUUCAGAAAGGCUGGAGUGAUUAUUUGGAAGAGAAAAGCCUGCCUAUUCUUUCCAAGGUGCAUGAAUAUUCCCUCGACCUGCCCAUCCAGUGGUCCAGCAAUGAAUUAUUAGGAACCUGCCAUAGACAAAGGAUGCACUCGGAGCCCCACCACACCUAAAGCCACGCUUUGAAGGAUCUGCCAAGCUCACUUUUAAUCAUGAGAAAGAAAUUACCCACAUGGAGUCAGCAGAAAAUGAGAAAGUAGAGCUCGUGCUGUGAAUAAUUCCAGCAAGUGCCAAGGGGCUAGUUGAGGAAUGGCUUCAUGAGGUGAAUAUCUUUAGCUUGUACUUAGGGUUUGGUUAGCGUAUAAUCAUUUUCUCUUCUUGCAGCAACGACUAUCAUAAGUGUAUUUCCUAACUAAAGAGUGCUUUGAGCAUGUGUCUGGAUGUUGACAGAUUUAAUACCAGUGUUGCCCUUGUUGUUAUUUACUAUGACUAAUUUUACAUUUGUGAAUAUGCAGAAAUCAAUUUAGGCGCAAAAGCUCUCAGAGCCAGUGACUGUCGCUCGCUGUCCGUGUUUGUGUGUAUCGCUGUGAGUGCGCGUCCAGUAAUUCAUGUCUCCGUGUACGUAUGUGCCCUUGUUUUCGUCUUCUCUCUGUUGUGAACGUAGGUUGGGAGAAUUAGCCAACCAGUGGGUUCUCAGACGUGGUCCAAGGCUUUCAUUUGAUUUUUGGAACAGGAAAAAAAGAACGUGUCACAUUGUGAUUAAUGGUCAAUCUGAAUUUUCAAUUCAUAUGAAAGGAGGAAGGGGAAGGGAUAUGUGUCAAAUGACAAGACUAACCUUUUCCCUUUGGGACGAGCAUGAUUCAAAUUAAACAUCACUUUCAGUGUGAAAUUAGUUUGAAUUCUUUUUUCUCUCUCUCUCUUUUUCUUUUUCUUUUUUUUUUUUUUUUUUUUUUUUUUUUGGUGCCUAGUUUAACUCCUUGUUGGCUGCUCUUUCAGAGAGAACCCCCUGCCAUCCCAGCUCUGUGCCUGAAUUUAUUCCCAGUAGCCCAUAGUUCCACUUCCUUUGUUUCCUUUUUCUAAAGAUCAGGUCCCAGAAAAGAAUAUUGUACUAUUUCAAAAGCUUCAUUACUCACAAGAUAAGAUUCUCCCUAACACAUGCUAUUUAAUGUCUCCAUAAAUGAAAUAAAUACAUGAAUAAAUAGCAUUCCUCUUUUUUAAAAGAUAAUUUUGCCAGGGAGGAAGGAGAAAGAAAGAAAGGGAUCCUUUUGGAAAGAAUUUAGAGUGCCCUCUGCUUUGUGCCAGUUUUUGCUGGCUGAGUAAGCCACAGAGGAAAAACAGCCACAAAAACCCCCAACUUCCCUCCUGAUCCUCUUGUUUCCCACAUAACUGAGUCACAGGAUCGCCAUGCCAACCUGGAGCAAUCUGGCUUUAAGCAAGCAUGUGCCUGGACGUUUCGAAACCGCCCAUUAGUACUGGUUCAAAGGACCCAGGUCCCAACUUGUAGAAAGAACCUGCUGGCAGAAGAAACAGUGGGCUGCUUUCGCAUCUGUACAAAUCCUGACUCCACAGUGAGGCAUCAUCAGAUGUGAUGUGUGACUGACUCCCUUCCUGGAGUUUGGUGGCUUAUGGGGAAAGGAAAGGUAUUGAAAUGGCUAAGAAACCGUGCUAUUCUUCCAGUAUAUCUUCAAAAGGAAAUUGUUGGGGGUCUUUGAUCCCUUCCCUACAGGAAGGAGAGGUGUGGCAGGGUGGAGAGCUGAGCCAGCAGGGGUGAGGUAUGGUAGAGGAGGUGAGCCACUGGGGGGUGGCUUGUGGGGGGCAGAGCUCAGCCAGCUGGGGGAGGAGGCAGAGGUGGAGUCGGGAGGUAGAAGGUGGAGGCAGAUGAGCAGCUGUGUUUAUUUUAAAACAUAUCAUUUAACCCUCACCUAAAAACAAAUUGGAGAGGUUUGAGAGUGCAUUAAUCUGGACCCAAUUAGCAUGUCUUUCUCCUUCAAAAGUGCAACCUGAGAUUAAUGAAUAUAAACUAGAGUUUCAGAUGCAGUGCUUAAAUCAUUUGCAUGUUUCCUGCAUGAUAAUUGAAUUUAUGUAUGCACUUCCUUUCAUUUAACUAUUUCCAGUCUCUUCCUUGUGAUUCACAUAAAUCAAGAUUUCAUUGUAGUGACCUCUAUGGAAAUAGCUUGCCUAGACUUUACUCCUAAUGAGGGAUUCAAGUUCUUGUUUCUUUUAUGUGAGUUUGAAUAAUACAAUUUUUUUUUAAAGGAGACGGCAGUGCUUAAUAGUCUGGAAUGCUGUUUCAGGGGUUGGUAAAUAGGCACCCCAAGUUUAUUUAUGAAAAGACAGAAAAACCAUGGGACCUUAUAUUAUUGAGUUUUCAGUGGUCCCAAAGAAUUGGGUUUCGGCAUGGACUUAAAAGUGUGUUAAUAAUACCAAGAGCAAAGUCACUUUAAUGUAGCAUAAAGAAUGAUCUUGGUCUUUGGACCUGAGUUAUUUAGAUCACUGAGAGAUUUCAGUGCACAGUGUUGGAUAGUAAGAUAUUUGCUUGUGUAGAUGGGGGUGGGGAAUGGUGUCAGCCUCUAUGAAAGGCUAUAGAUGAGCAGUUAGCACUUGUGGUUCCUUAGCAUGCCAUCCCUUUUCUUCCCUUUUUGUUACUUGGGUGUAGAAAAGGCUUAGUGGUGACAUAAUGCAAACAGGUACUAAGGUCUUUGCUUUCCACCUGUCCCUAAAUGAAAAGUCUAAAAGCCAGCAGUGGGUAUGUAAGAAAGCUUUCUGGGGAAGAUGUUGCAGCAAGAGGCUUGAAAUAAUUCCCUGGUUUCAGUUUGUAUCAAUGAUUCGUCUGUCUUCUGUCUUGCCUUAUGUGUUUCCAAGUUCAAUGUCAAAGUGAUGAGCUUUUCUCCUGGAAUUCUCCCCAGUGUCUUUUGUUUGGUGAAUUCGAUGGUUGAAUGUUGCUGAGUGUCUCCUGGUCUUGUUUCCUGGUCCUUGUAGCUCAGAAUGUCGUUGAAGGAUAAAAAUCUUGUGAAUUUGUGAUGUCACAAAUUUAAGUGUGCUUCCUGUCACUUGUGUGUAGUUUAAAAUGUUCCUUAAUGUAGCAUGAAAUGAUUGGUUAGCUUUGAAAUGGUUGUGAAGUCAUGUGAAGAAAAUAAGUUUUGCAUCCGACCAAGAUAAAUUCA